AAAAAGGCUCGCUAGACCAAAUCUCAUGGUAAACAUCAAUUAAUCUCUCGCCCCAAGGAUCACGGAGAGAAUUUGAUAAUAUAGCUAAUUCUUCUCAAUCCGAGAUUUUUACAUAGUUUUCUAGUUCUACACGUUUCAUUUCAAAUAGAUGUAUAAAACUAGCAACACUAAUGUUAGGUGACAUCUUAAAAGACUUGAGCUCUUUCAAUUUCUUUUCUCUUUCCCUUUGUAUUGCUCUUUCAUUCCAUAACAAAUUUUGUGUCGCCCUUGGGACACCAUUUCGUAUGAUCUCACGACCUCGAAAACAUGCCCUUCAACGAUGCGCCCUUCUACCUUGCCUCUUUGCUCGACAUUCAGAACUCCUACUUGGAGUGAUUCGAGUUUGUCCCCGUUAAGCCAUUUCUGAAAUACGAACUAAGAAAUAAUAAGAAUGAAUUUACCACUCUAUGUGACACAUAUGUCACAUUUAUUUGUAGAAUGCAAAGUCCGUUAAAGAAAAAAUAUGAACUAGUUAAGACAAGGAAAGAAAAAUAUCAAGUCAUAUAUAUAUAUAUAUUCUCUUAUGUAAUUUAUAAACAUGUCACAAAAUUGGUCAAUUCUAUUUUAAAACAAAAUCGUUUCUAUAUUUAUUUAGACAGAAUCCAAAAUAUGACUUUAAUAAUACACUUUUAGAUAUUAAAACAUUUAAAACAAUAGAAAAAGGCCGAAUAAAUAUUCUAAUCAUAAAAGAAAUUGAAUGAGAAAAAAAAAUUCUUUCUUUUAAAACUAAUUCCAUAUUCACUUCCAUGAUUUUCUAGAAAGAAACAUAGCACGAGUAAAUGAGAAUUAGAGUACUGCAAACAAUUAUUAAAAUAAAGAAAUACAAAGGAUGCUUUUCACUUUAUACAGUGCCCUUUCAACUGACCUUUCUAUACUUUUCAUUUAUCCGAAAGAAGAAAAAAAUGAAAUACACUGCAUUUGUUCUCCAUCAAAGUAAAAAUCAAGCAUAAACAAUUUUUUUUUCUCUUACUCGAUAUGAAAUAAUCUCAUAUCAGUAUAUUCAUUUCCAAAAGGAGAUACGAAGACUUUUAAACGCAGUAACAGAUUAUGACUAAAUUCAUUUUAUUUUCUCCAAAUUAAAAUUUAUAAUCAUAUCCACAACGAAAUCCGCCGCUCAAAGGUUGCGUGUUUGACCGGAUUCAGAACACAAUGGAGUCGCGUCUGUCGGCAGAUCAAAAGUUUAAGUGACCGAUUUUUGUCGGAUCUAAAAUUCUGAUUGCAUCCGGUUAUUUUUAUUUUCUUAUCAGGUAAGCACUUACAUAAUAUUUCAAGAUAUUUGCACAAUAAAAUUCAGAAUUUUUCAUGCAAAAUUAGGACAACCAAAACCUGUCUCUGAUGCCAUUGUAGUAAAUUUGGAGCAAAACAAUAAUAAGUUGUGUAUCUUAAAUUCACAGCGGAAAUUAUUUUUGCUUCCGAAAUGAUCUGCCCCAAGUCCACUUCGUUUUUCUUGAAAACAAAAUCAUUUCACCAACUAAAUGCUCUUGUUUUGAUGUUUUUGUUAAUUUCAAUUACUUAUUUUUCGACUUAGUUUUUCUCUCUGUAUAUUUAUUUCUUGCCCUUGUCAGAAAAACAGAAAAGAGAUCAUAUAGCGAUCUUUUUGGGUGGGAUCAGUUAUAACCGUUCCCUUUUUUUUGAAUUAAGAUUAUCUAUUAAUCUUAUUUUCUAACUAAGAUAAAAGGGUCGAGUCGGGUCCACAUGGAUGACCCAUACCCAUAAU
RNAcentral lists this long non-coding RNA (1756 nucleotides) under Capsicum annuum. RNAcentral's name for it is "long non-coding RNA (CANN_LNC004566)". The record is from RNAcentral. Lineage: Eukaryota; Viridiplantae; Streptophyta; Magnoliopsida; Solanales; Solanaceae.